GUUUGAUCCUGGCUCAGAACGAACGCUGGCGGCAGGCCUAACACAUGCAAGUCGAGCGCACUCUUCGGAGUGAGCGGCGGACGGGUUAGUAACGCGUGGGAAUAUACCCUUUUCUACGGAAUAGCCUCGGGAAACUGAGAGUAAUACCGUAUACGCCCUUCGGGGGAAAGAUUUAUCGGUGAAGGAUUAGCCCGCGUAAGAUUAGAUAGUUGGUGGGGUAAUGGCCUACCAAGUCUACGAUCUUUAGCUGGUUUGAGAGGAUGAUCAGUAACACUGGGACUGAGACACGGCCCAGACUCCUACGGGAGGCAGCAGUGGGGAAUCUUAGACAAUGGGCGCAAGCCUGAUCUAGCCAUGCCGCGUGAGUGACGAAGGCCUUAGGGUCGUAAAGCUCUUUCGCCAGAGAUGAUAAUGACAGUAUCUGGUAAAGAAACCCCGGCUAACUCCGUGCCAGCAGCCGCGGUAAUAAGG
RNAcentral lists this ribosomal RNA (471 nucleotides) under uncultured Loktanella sp. RNAcentral's name for it is "bacterial SSU rRNA". It matches the Rfam family "Bacterial small subunit ribosomal RNA", at positions 11 to 528 of the family's 1533-position model. Lineage: Bacteria; Pseudomonadati; Pseudomonadota; Alphaproteobacteria; Rhodobacterales; Roseobacteraceae. The record is from RNAcentral.